Molecule: transfer RNA, 66 nt
Filed under: Endelus continentalis
Lineage: Eukaryota; Metazoa; Arthropoda; Insecta; Coleoptera; Buprestidae
Description: tRNA-Ser
Source: RNAcentral
GGAAUAAAAAUAAAAGAAAAAGCUUCUAACUUUAAUCUUUAGCAGUGAAAAUCUGUUAGUGUUCCU